This 180-nucleotide ribosomal RNA is filed under the name uncultured bacterium. RNAcentral describes it as "partial 16S ribosomal RNA". It matches the Rfam family "Bacterial small subunit ribosomal RNA", at positions 1320 to 1500 of the family's 1533-position model. The record is from RNAcentral.
AUGAAGCCGGAAUUGCUAGUAAUGGCAGGUCAGCAUACUGCCGUGAAUACGUUCCCGGGCCUUGUACACACCGCCCGUCACACCAUGAGAGUUGGGGAUACCCGAAGCCUGUGAGCCAACUUUUAGAGGCAGCAGUCGAAGGUAGAAUCAAUGAUUGGGGUGAAGUCGUAACAAGGUAGC